This is a long non-coding RNA of Papaver somniferum (opium poppy), 1344 nucleotides long. RefSeq lists it as uncharacterized. The record is from RefSeq and is a predicted model, not a curated record. The transcript is spliced from 9 exons. NCBI's taxonomy places the organism in Eukaryota, Viridiplantae, Streptophyta, Magnoliopsida, Ranunculales, Papaveraceae.
GUCCGAGCUUCCCUCUCUCUUUGAACUUCCCAUUUUCGUUCCCAUUCUCCGUUCUUUGACAACCCAUAUUCUUUUUUGCUUCAAGAAUUUCACAUAUUGCUUAUGAAGUUUAGGAAUCAGUUUGGAGGUAUAGAUCUGAAGGAACCAUACAUCCAAUUAUGUCAUUUGCUUUGGAUUAGGAUGGAUUGAAUCAUAUCCAAAAUCAGAACCAGAAUGGGAUUGAGCAAUAUGCAAGCUUCUAUCCAUAUGGAAGGUAUCGAGCCCCUGAAGUUCUGAUCCAAUCGCCAUCAUAAAAUUCCGCAGUUGAUAUCUAGGCGAUGGGUGGUAGGUAUCAUGGCUGAAUUUCUUUCACUUUGCCGUUAUCAAUAUUUUCUUAAAGAUUUGUGAACACGAGUCGCUCUGCUCUUGGGACCCAAACAAGAGGACGACAGCUGACUACUACCUCCUUUCUUUCAGCCAUGCUAUUAUGUUUAUCCAUCGUGCAAGAACUGCACUUACUAGAACACCUCCAUUUGUUACACUGAAGCAGAGGAGCACAAGACGAUACUCUGGAACUUUUUCUGAUACGAAAUCUUUGCGCAGCUUCUCUUAUGCAAGCUAUGUUUUUCUUCAGUUGAUUUACUAAUGUCACCUUAGUUACUAAAAUGUGAUGUCAUACAUUUGAUUUUGUAUUUGGGUUCCAGUGUGGUUGAAUCAGCUGCGUCACCACUAACAGCUGCGACAACCUUCUUUAAAUUCACCGUACCAAAGAUAUGGUUUCGUUGGUCAUCUAAAUGCUCGAGUAAAUUCUGAGACUUAUGGCUUCUUGUUAUUGGCUUUGUGUGUUCAUUAAAUCUAAAUCGUACCAAGUUGCAUGAUUUGGAUGUUAGUUGAUUGUCCUAAGUAUCUUGCGGCAUGGGACUGCGGGAAUAGCUUUCAGCCAAUUCAGGUGUUCACCCAGCUUGUUUCCACCAGGUGGUGCUGCCAACAACACCUUGGUUUUGUGUUUGCUUUUUUGAGGAGCUUCAGGAAAAAAGAAUUGCAUGUGCAUACUUUGAUAGAGGAAAGUCUCCAAAUGAAGCAUAUUAAGACUGCAGGAUUGAUGAAUCAUAGAUGGAGUUCAUGGAGAUGUUUGAAGAGGUGAUAUGAUACAAGUGUCCAAAAGCUUAUAUAACUUCCCUGGCACGGUGAUAGCAUAUCGAAUUCAGUUUAGAUAUUCGAUAUGUUAUUUCGGGUUGCUACAAAAAAAAAAUCAAAAUUUUAUUGGGUUACCAACUUACCAGAAUUUAUUUUUGAAAUCGUACUCAGAGAUUGUACUUUUUUGAAUGUUGGAUAAUUAACAAAAAAAUAUUUUCAAACGUUUCA